RNAcentral lists this ribosomal RNA (460 nucleotides) under uncultured bacterium. Its description in RNAcentral is "partial 16S ribosomal RNA". It matches the Rfam family "Bacterial small subunit ribosomal RNA", at positions 338 to 795 of the family's 1533-position model. The record is from RNAcentral.
CCUACGGGUGGCAGCAGUGAGGAAUAUUGGUCAAUGGGCGUAAGCCUGAACCAGCCAAGUCGCGUGAGGGAUGAAGGAUCUAUGGUUCGUAAACCUCUUUUAUAAGGGAAUAAAGUGUGGGACGCGUCCCGCUUCGCAUGUACCUUAUGAAUAAGGAUCGGCUAACUCCGUGCCAGCAGCCGCGGUAAUACGGAGGAGCCGAGCGUUAUCCGGAUUUAUUGGGUUUAAAGGGUGCGUAGGCGGCCUUUUAAGUCAGCGGUGAAAGUCUGUGGCUCAACCAUAGAAUUGCCGUUGAAACUGGGGGGCUUGAGUAUGUUUGAGGCAGGCGGAAUGCGUGGUGUAGCGGUGAAAUGCAUAGAUAUCACGCAGAACCCCGAUUGCGAAGGCAGCCUGCCAAGCCAUGACUGACGCUGAUGCACGAAAGCGUGGGGAUCGAACAGGAUUAGAUACCCUGGUAGUC